CCUACGGGAGGCAGCAGUGAGGAAUAUUGGUCAAUGGACGAGAGUCUGAACCAGCCAAGUAGCGUGAAGGAUGACUGCCCUAUGGGUUGUAAACUUCUUUUAUAUGGGAAUAAAAUGUUCCACGUGUGGGAUUUUGUAUGUACCAUAUGAAUAAGGAUCGGCUAACUCCGUGCCAGCAGCCGCGGUAAUACGGAGGAUCCGAGCGUUAUCCGGAUUUAUUGGGUUUAAGGGGAGCGUAGGUGGAUUGUUAAGUCAGUUGUGAAAGUUUGCGGCUCAACCGUAAAAUUGCAGUUGAAACUGGCUGUUUUGAGAAAAGUAGAGGUGGGCGGAAUUCGUGGUGUAGCGGUGAAAGGCUUAGAUAUAACGAAGAACUCCGAUUGCGAAGGCAGCUCACUGGACUGCAACUGACACUGAGGCUCGAAAGUGUGGGUAUAAAACAGGAUUAGAUACACGAGUAGUC
This 460-nucleotide ribosomal RNA is filed under the name uncultured bacterium. RNAcentral describes it as "partial 16S ribosomal RNA". It matches the Rfam family "Bacterial small subunit ribosomal RNA", at positions 338 to 795 of the family's 1533-position model. The record is from RNAcentral.